GGGUCCCCCUUUUAUAGGCGGAGGGAGCAACAGACUGAUAGCGAUGUCUGUAACCGUCUGGUCAUGGGCUGCCCAGGGUCAGGCGGAGUUUGUUGCAAAGAGUGGUGGAGUAGACCCGUGGCUAUCACCGAAGCGCACCACGUGGAGUCUGCCGCAGGGAGUGGAGCGGCGUCUGUUGUCGCGACUUGCCAGAGGAUGGAAGAAUCGUGCGGUAUCCAUCGCAGGAAG
Molecule: long non-coding RNA, 228 nt
Filed under: Elaeis guineensis (African oil palm)
Lineage: Eukaryota; Viridiplantae; Streptophyta; Magnoliopsida; Arecales; Arecaceae
Description: long non-coding RNA (EGUI_LNC036217)
Source: RNAcentral